Molecule: transfer RNA, 73 nt
Filed under: Stenocercus festae
Lineage: Eukaryota; Metazoa; Chordata; Lepidosauria; Squamata; Tropiduridae
Description: tRNA-Ile
Rfam family: tRNA
About the family: Transfer RNA (tRNA) molecules are approximately 80 nucleotides in length.
Source: RNAcentral
GGAAAUAUGCCCGAACUACAAGGACUACUUUGAUAAAGUACACCACAGAGGUUAAAAUCCUCUUAUUUCCUCU